GGCUCCCACUGAGCCCGCCAGGAAGGAGAGUGGCUGGGGCGGUAGCAGGCCACCCCGGGUGCGAGAGCCUUUCUGCCCGGGCUCGUUUCUACCCCGCACGUGGCUUGGUGCCUGAGCGGCGUGUGUCCCGUGUGGCGCGUUUGCUCCUGCGGGGCAGCUGGGCGCGCGGAGGAGUGGUUCCUUUUGGUAAAAUAUUAUCAUCUUAAUUAUAGCCAAGAAACCGAGGCAAUGAGGUUAAGUGUUUUGCCCAACUUGACAGAGGGACUACAGAGGUGGUACGAAAUUUUGGCCUGAGACUGCAGUGGGAAAUUAUUAUUUUAACUUUUCAGUUAAAAUUCAGCAUUCAGAUGAUGGAGUGUUCAGAAAAAGUACUGAAGAUAAGAAGUGCUCACGAAAGAAAACCCACUGGAGUACUGAGUUUUUUUUCCAGCCUGCUCUUGUAUGGUUCCAUCGUAGUCUAGAGAUAGGGAUUAUUAUGAGGAUCAUCACUUAUUCAAGUAAGAAUGCAUUGGCGUUGGCUGUGUGGGAAGUUUCCAAGAACUUUGCAGAAGGCUGGUAAUGGUGGGUCUCUGGCAGAGAUGGCCCAACUGAAGUCACAUGUGAUGUCUACCUAAUCACUGUUAGCAUUUUUUUUUCUUUUUUUGACUUUUAUAGCCCUGUUUUAUUUCCCUACUCUCAAUUUUGUAUUUUGAAGUUUUUUUCAUCUUUAUUGUACCACUUGUGCAUUCGCUAAUAAUAAUAAUGGGAGAACUGGGCCACUGCUAUUGCAGCAUGUGCAUGCAC
Long non-coding RNA from Mauremys mutica (yellowpond turtle), 783 nucleotides. RefSeq lists it as uncharacterized. The record is from RefSeq and is a predicted model, not a curated record. Lineage: Eukaryota; Metazoa; Chordata; Testudines; Geoemydidae. The transcript is spliced from 4 exons.